GACACCAUAACUCAAUGGUAGAGCAUUUCCCUCACAGGAAAAGACUGAGGUUCGAAUCCUUGUGGUGUCA
RNAcentral lists this transfer RNA (70 nucleotides) under bacterium. RNAcentral describes it as "tRNA-Val". It matches the Rfam family "tRNA". From Rfam's summary of the family: Transfer RNA (tRNA) molecules are approximately 80 nucleotides in length. Their secondary structure includes four short double-helical elements and three loops (D, anti-codon, and T loops). Further hydrogen bonds mediate the characteristic L-shaped molecular structure. tRNAs have two regions of fundamental functional importance: the anti-codon, which is responsible for specific mRNA codon recognition, and the 3' end, to which the tRNAs corresponding amino acid is attached (by aminoacyl-tRNA synthetases). tRNAs cope with the degeneracy of the genetic code in two manners: having more than one tRNA (with a specific anti-codon) for a particular amino acid; and 'wobble' base-pairing, i.e. permitting non-standard base-pairing at the 3rd anti-codon position. The record is from RNAcentral.